CUCCACAGAACUUUAUCUUUACAGAUUUACAUCUUUCUUUUACAGGCACUGUAUCAACUGUCUAUGAACAUCAAUCUUGACAAGAAUACAAGGACUGUCAUUACUUCAGACCAACAAGAAAGGCAAAGAGAACUAUAGCAUUGUCCAGAGUACCACCAGAACUCACUAUGUAACGCCUCCUCUGUUCUAGUUUUAAAUAUUCUCACAUGGACGUUUACAAUAACAAUAUAAUCAGUUAAUAAAACUAUAAUACGUCAUCGGUGACGUCUUCAAAUCUGAAAACACAAAAGCAUAAAUUAAAUCUAAUAUCACCUUGAAAUUAGUGGUGCUAAAAGUAUAAAAACUUUUCCGUUUGAUCUACAUCCCUUAACAAGGAAUGGACGCUCAGGGACUGCUUACUAAAAACAGAUUCCUUUUGUUAUUUUUUUAAAUUGGUAAAAACAAUAUAUAUAUAUAUAUAUAUAUAUAUAAACACAAACCAACAUGCAUAAGUUUAUGUUACGUCCGAAAUAUUUUGGCAUGUUUGUAAAUUUUUUUAUAAGUAGUUUUCAAUUCAAAUGUUGCUAAACUUUCAAGCACAACAAAUUCUCUAUAAGGAUCCUUGAAACAAAAAAGUCUUGGUCUAAAAAUACAAGUUAAUAAAAAUUCAUUAUAAGCCUUUGCAGCUUGAGUGAUUUCAAAUCUGAAAAGCAAACUUUUUGUCACGUGACACAGAAUACAUAGCCUAUAUAUAUGACAGAAAAGGAGAUAAGCAAGUUUAUUUCUACAACCAAUUUUCUGGAGAGAUUCUCUCAACUGUCUUAGUUACUUUCAGGUUUCAUCAUUUAAAAAAAAAACAUGACUCAAAGAAUGCUCUAUGUUGCACUUGUCCUGGGAUUGUUGGGUCAAGUUGUCUCUGAAGACGCAGAGACCGCUCUUGCAUCUACAAGUCUACAAUGUCAAUCACGAGUUGCAGGUUGUAAAGCCUCAAAUAACAAUGUACUAAGUUUGUACACGUCUUCAAAAUAUUGUGAAGCCAUUAAAUACUCAACACCAAGUUUUGCUUCUCUGACUUGCUUGGUUGUAGACAGCGGCUGCACUCUGACCGAGUACUUCAGAAUGAGAAAUGCUGCUUGUGGAACAAGUUCAACAACUGGUCUGGAUACUGCCGAAAACGUUGGCAUCGCUCUUGUAUCAAGUAGUCAGCAAUGUAGAUCGAAAGUUUCAAGCUGUAUAUCCUUGGACACCACAGUAAAAAAUUUGUACGCGUCUUCCAAAUAUUGUGAAGCCUUGCAAUAUUCAGCAUCCAGUGUUACCGCUCAAUCUUGUCUGGUAGGAAGCAGCGGCUGUACCCAGAGCGAGUACGACAGCUUGAAGCGAGCCGCGUGUACAGCAAGUUCUUUGAUAGUUGGAACUUUAUCUAUGUUUUUAUGUUCCCUUAUUUAUCUAUUUACAAAUUUCUUUUGAAAUGCCUUAAAAGUACGCUGUAUUCUUUCUAAAAAAUAGACAUUGUAGAAAUUAGGAUGAAAACUACUUAUGUUUAAUUAGUCUUUCCUUCUAAACAUAAACGAACAAAAUAGGAUACAUGGUUGAUGAUGCAAACAGAUAAUGUGUUUUGUUUUAACAUUGUAUUUUGUAAGGACAUCUUAUUUAAAUAUCACGGUUAAAAAAAACACAAAACUAUUUUUUUUUAUAUUCCCAGACAUUGUUCAUCAUAUGAAAACAUAUAGAAAUGAGUUGAACAACUCAAAAGUUAAGUAUUUAACCUAUCGCCGAAUUUAUUUGUAACUGUAACUUCGUUUGACCCGUAUAUCUCUUCAUAUUAUUAUUUCAUAUGUACUCACUAACUUUCAUACUAUAAGGGACAGUCCUGACAGGAACACGAACAAUGUACUCUCCGAUUCGACAACUUAUCUCACUUAAACUGUCUUUUUGUAUUCAACAUGUAUGUAUAUGUUCUAAAUAAAUUAUUAAUGAAAAUUUUA
This is a long non-coding RNA of Biomphalaria glabrata, 1964 nucleotides long. RefSeq lists it as uncharacterized. Lineage: Eukaryota; Metazoa; Mollusca; Gastropoda; Planorbidae. The record is from RefSeq and is a predicted model, not a curated record. The transcript is spliced from 3 exons.